AUUGAACGCUGGCGGCAGGCCUAACACAUGCAAGUCGAGCGAGCGGCGGACGGGUGAGUAAUGUCUGGGAAACUGCCUGAUGGAGGGGGGUAACCACUUGAAACGGUAGCUAAUACCGCAUUCCAUCCGAUGUGCCCAGAUGGGAUGAGCUAGUAGGUGGGGUAAUGGCUCACCUAGGCGACGAUCCCUAGCUGGUCUGAGAGGAUGACCAGCCACCCUGGAACUGAGACAGGGGCCAGACUCCGACGGGGGGCAGCAGUGGGGAACAUUGCACAAGGGGCGGAAGGCUGAUGCGGCCAUGCCGCGUGUGUGAAGAAGGCCUUCGGGUUGUAAAGCACUUUCAGCGGGGAGGCGUUACCCGCAGAAGAAGCACCGGCUAACUCCGUGCCAGCAGCCGCGGUAAUAC
RNAcentral lists this ribosomal RNA (406 nucleotides) under uncultured bacterium. RNAcentral describes it as "partial 16S ribosomal RNA". It matches the Rfam family "Bacterial small subunit ribosomal RNA", at positions 29 to 526 of the family's 1533-position model. The record is from RNAcentral.